AUUGAACGCUGGCGGCAGGCCUAACACAUGCAAGUCGAACGGUAACAGGAAGCAGCUUGCUGCUUUGCUGACGAGUGGCGGACGGGUGAGUAAUGUCUGGGAAACUGCCUGAUGGAGGGGGAUAACUACUGGAAACGGUAGCUAAUACCGCAUAACGUCGCAAGACCAAAGAGGGGGACCUUAGGGCCUCUUGCCAUCGGAUGUGCCCAGAUGGGAUUAGCUAGUAGGUGGGGUAACGGCUCACCUAGGCGACGAUCCCUAGCUGGUCUGAGAGGAUGACCAGCCACACUGGAACUGAGACACGGUCCAGACUCCUGCGGGAGGCAGCAGUGGGGAAUAUUGCACAAUGGGCGCAAGCCUGAUGCAGCCAUGCCGCGUGUAUGAAGAAGGCCUUCGGGUUGUAAAGUACUUUCAGCGGGGAGGAAGGGAGUAAAGUUAAUACCUUUGCUCAUUGACGUUACCCGCAGAAGAAGCACCGGCUAACUCCGUG
RNAcentral lists this ribosomal RNA (490 nucleotides) under uncultured bacterium. Its description in RNAcentral is "partial 16S ribosomal RNA". It matches the Rfam family "Bacterial small subunit ribosomal RNA", at positions 30 to 507 of the family's 1533-position model. The record is from RNAcentral.